AAUUCGCCCUUAGAGUUUGAUCCUGGCUCAGGAUAAACGCUGGCGGCAUGCCUAACACAUGCAAGUCGAACGGGGUUUAUAUAACAGAACUCUCCGGAGGGAAGUUAUAUAAACCUAGUGGCGGACGGGUGAGUAACGCGUGGGGAACCUGCCCUGUACCGGGGGACAACAGCCAGAAAUGGCUGCUAAUACCGCAUAACCCUGCACUGCCGCAUGGCGGUGCAGGGAAAACUCCGGUGGUACAGGAUGGCCCCGCGUCUGAUUAGCUUGUUGGCGGGGUAACGGCCCACCAAGGCAACGAUCAGUAGCCGGCUUGAGAGAGCGGACGGCCACAUUGGGACUGAGACACGGCCCAGACUCCUGCGGGAGGCAGCAGUGGGGAAUAUUGCACAAUGGGGGGAACCCUGAUGCAGCAAUGCCGCGUGGGUGAAGAAGUACUCCGGUAUGUAAAGCCCUGUCAGCAGGGAAGAAAAUGACGGUACCUGACUAAGAAGCCCCGGCUAACUACGUGCCAGCAGCCGCGGUAAUACGUAGGGGGCGAGCGUUAUCCGGAUUUACU
RNAcentral lists this ribosomal RNA (559 nucleotides) under uncultured bacterium. RNAcentral's name for it is "bacterial SSU rRNA". It matches the Rfam family "Bacterial small subunit ribosomal RNA", at positions 1 to 555 of the family's 1533-position model. The record is from RNAcentral.